Molecule: long non-coding RNA, 1898 nt
Filed under: Equus asinus (donkey)
Lineage: Eukaryota; Metazoa; Chordata; Mammalia; Perissodactyla; Equidae
Description: lncRNA (ENSEASG00005036972.1)
Source: RNAcentral
CUUCAGGGCCGCCAGCCCUCCAGAGCUCUGGGGGAGGACCCUUCCUUACCUCUUCCAGCUUCUGGGGGCUCCUUGGCUUGGGCUGCAGCAUCCAGCUUCUGCUCCAUGGCCUCCUCCCCGGCCUCUCUGUGGCCCAAAUCUUCCUCCACCUCUUUCCUAUAAGGAUGCUCGACAUUGGAUUUAGGGCCCACCCCAAAUCCAGGAUGCUUUCAUCUUGAGAGCCUUAACUGUGUUACAUCUGCUAAGACUUUUUCCAAAUAAGGUCUCUCACGUUCUCAGGUUCUGGGUAAACAUAUCUUUUGUGGGGGCUUAGGGGCCACAAUUCAACCCGCUGUACUGGCUUCUGCUACUUUCAUGGGUGAAGCAUCCGUUCCAUCUUCUUCUCCCCACGGGCCUGGAUUUUUCCCCUAGGUCCCACUCAGCCUCCAUUUCAGUCCCUGUGGGUGAGCACUCGAGCUGGGCCUGGCCCAUCAGAGCAAAGCAUCUCUCUGGGCUCAGUGAUUGCUCCAGGUCUGGUCUAAUCAGACCCAAUCUCAGGACUCUGGUUGUCUCUGCUGCCGGCUGCUAUGAGGACAGCUGCUGGCAGCCACCUUGGUAGCAGGAGGGGCGGCCUCUCUGAGAACAGAGCCCACACAGAGGAGAGUGGGGCCGAGGGAUGGAAAGUGAAGCCCAGUCUUUCUGUUACAGGAGCCAGCACGCUCACAGUCCUGCUGAAGCCUGCUGAGCGGCAUUCCUGUCCCCUCACCGAAAUCAGAUUUCCCUCUGUCUCUCUCCUUUAAGAACACUUGACAUUGGAUUUAGGGCCCACCCUAAACCCAGGAGGCUUUCUUCUUGGGGGCCUUAACUUAAUUACAUCUGCAAAGACUUUUUCCAAAUAAGGCACAUUCUCGGGUUCGGGUAGAUACAUCUUGGGUGAGGACCAAGUGGCCACAUUGGAUUGUGACCCAAACGGACGUACACCAUGAGCCCUUACUUAACCGAGGGUGCAUUUCAAUGGCACAGUGGCUGUCAGGGGCCUCCUUACUGGAGAUGAAAAUGAGACAGACAGCAGCGUGUGGGCUCUUGGCAGGAUCCAGGAGGCCUCUGGUCCGGGCACACACGGGAGAUGGAGACCCAGAGAGGUGCGACCUCCCAGAGAUCAUGCCUGUGCUGCCCUCUGCCUAGAACGCCCUCUGACCCUCAAACUCAGCUCAGGCCCUCCCUCACCAGAGGGAAGCAGGCAGGCUGGCUGGCGAUGCACGUCGUCCUCCUGCUGGAGCCCCGUCUGUCCUCCUGCACCCGGAAUGACCCUGUCGAUUCUGCUGCCGCUGCUUACAGAUCUUUUCUUCCUCCUUGGCGACGCUCUUCUGCUCACAGAGUACACUGAUUCAUGGGAUGGAGCUGGAGCCCUUCCUCUUGAGCUACGGACCACAGAAAUAGCACAGAUCACAGUAGUAUCGGCAAUUUUGUCACCGGCGCCCACAGGGGGCCUGGCAGGCGGGACACCAGCCCUGCCUCCUCUGGCACUUUCAGAGUCAGGUCCUCGAGGCUUGUCUGGGGCCCAACUCCUCACACCCAUGGCAUCACCAUCCAUCACACCCCAACGACUGCGCAUGGCUGCCUCGCCUCCAGCCCUCGCCUUUGCUGCACCCAGCUGACUGCUUGACAAGUUCACUGACGCCUGAAAGGACCCCUCAGCCUGGUCCCCAGGUCUCCUCCUCCUGCAGGGCCCCCUCACAAUUGCUCGAGCCAGAAAUCUAGGGUCUUCCCACAUGUCCCUAUCGCACUCACAUCCAAUCCAUCUGGUGGUUUUAUCUUCUAAGCAUUCUCAAGUUCCUCCACUCCACCCCAUCCCCACUGUCACCACCCUAAUCCAAGCCUUUGGUUCUUUCGCCAAAACUCUUUUAAUGAUAUAUUUG